RNAcentral lists this transfer RNA (81 nucleotides) under Escherichia coli. RNAcentral's name for it is "tRNA-Pyl(cta)". The record is from RNAcentral. Lineage: Bacteria; Pseudomonadati; Pseudomonadota; Gammaproteobacteria; Enterobacterales; Enterobacteriaceae.
ACUAAAUCAGUAAGUUGGCAGCAUUACCUUUAUUCUCUAGAAAUAUAUUUAAGCUGAAUGGUUCGAUAUCAUUAUUGAAUU